UCGAGCGUCAUUUCAACCCAUCACGCCCCGGCGUGGACUUGGGGCCUGCGUCUUCGCAGCCCUUAAACUCAGUGGCGGUGCUAUUGAGCUCUGAGCGUAGUAAAUCUUCUCGCUAUAGGGUCUCGGUAGUUGCUUGCCAACAACCCCCCCAUUUUUAUCAGGUUGACCUCGGAUCAGGUAGGGAUACCCGCUGAACUUAA
Molecule: unclassified non-coding RNA, 200 nt
Filed under: soil metagenome
Description: partial contains internal transcribed spacer 2 and large subunit ribosomal RNA
Source: RNAcentral